RNAcentral lists this ribosomal RNA (544 nucleotides) under Salmonella enterica subsp. enterica. Its description in RNAcentral is "partial 23S ribosomal RNA". It matches the Rfam family "Bacterial large subunit ribosomal RNA", at positions 1214 to 1757 of the family's 2925-position model. RNAcentral also lists the same sequence under 1 other name. The record is from RNAcentral. Lineage: Bacteria; Pseudomonadati; Pseudomonadota; Gammaproteobacteria; Enterobacterales; Enterobacteriaceae.
CUAUGUGUUGUUGGGUAGGGGAGCGUUCUGUAAGCCUGUGAAGGUGUGUCGUGAGGCAUGCUGGAGGUAUCAGAAGUGCGAAUGCUGACAUAAGUAACGAUAAAGCGGGUGAAAAGCCCGCUCGCCGGAAGACCAAGGGUUCCUGUCCAACGUUAAUCGGGGCAGGGUGAGUCGACCCCUAAGGCGAGGCCGAAAGGCGUAGUCGAUGGGAAACGGGUUAAUAUUCCCGUACUUGGUGUUACUGCGAAGGGGGGACGGAGAAGGCUAUGUUGGCCGGGCGACGGUUGUCCCGGUUUAAGCGUGUAGGUGUGUGUUCCAGGUAAAUCCGGUUCACUUUAACACUGAGGCGUGAUGACGAGGCACUACGGUGCUGAAGCAACAAAUGCCCUGCUUCCAGGAAAAGCCUCUAAGCAUCAGGUAACAUCAAAUCGUACCCCAAACCGACACAGGUGGUCAGGUAGAGAAUACCAAGGCGCUUGAGAGAACUCGGGUGAAGGAACUAGGCAAAAUGGUGCCGUAACUUCGGGAGAAGGCACGCUGACAC